CACGUAGGGCGCGAGCGUUGUCCGGAAUUAUUGGGCGUAAAGAGCUCGUAGGCGGCCUGUUGCGUCCGCUGUGAAAGCCCGGGGCUUAACCCCGGGUCUGCAGUGGAUACGGGCAGGCUAGAGGUAGGUAGGGGAGAAUGGAAUUCCCGGUGUAGCGGUGAAAUGCGCAGAUAUCAGGAGGAACACCGGUGGCGAAGGCGGGUCUCUGGGCCAAAACUGACGCUGAGGAGCGAAAGCGUGGGGAGCGAACAGG
Molecule: ribosomal RNA, 253 nt
Filed under: uncultured bacterium
Lineage: Bacteria
Description: partial 16S ribosomal RNA
Rfam family: Bacterial small subunit ribosomal RNA
Source: RNAcentral